ACAUACACGAGUAUAUAUUAUAUCGUAACGGGCGGCUGUCGGAUUCCGCAAGAAAUAUUACGACAACAAUGUCUCGGGGAAAAACGAGCCCGGAGGAGAGCCGGCCGUAUAUAUGUGGAAUAAUAAUGAACGAACGAAUGAAUGAAAAAAAAAAAAAAAACCGCUAUUUUUUUUUAUUAUUAUUAUUUGAAUUUCGAAACGAGAUUUCCCGCGACGAUUUAUUUUUCCUCGCGUUAUUAUACUCGACGGUCGUGUCCGGGAACUCCGGAAAAACGGACCCCGAGCCCGUCGGACGAGCAUACGCGUAACGCGGGCGUAUUACGCGCACCUGACGCGACGCACGCGAUAGGAUGGAAACCCGACGGGAAAACGUCGCGGCGGCGUACAAACGGCGUGAGCGGAACCGAUUUCGCCGCGCGGACUCC
Non-coding RNA from Cinara cedri, 425 nucleotides. The record is from the annotation of a GenBank genome assembly. NCBI's taxonomy places the organism in Eukaryota, Metazoa, Arthropoda, Insecta, Hemiptera, Aphididae.